GUGCGAGACCGAUAGCGAACAAGUACCGUGAGGAAAAGAUGAAAAGAACUUUGAAAAGAGAGUUAAAGAGUACCUGAAACUGCUGAAAGGGAAGCGAAUCGUAUCCAGUGUCUAUAAUCUGCGGCAUAUUUCAUUGGCGGCAGUGUGCGUGCUUUUGCGUCGGAAGCGGCUUUUGUUGCUCUGUGCUUUUGCUGUGCGUGCUGUUGCUGGUGCCCUGUGUUGCGGUGGGACGUCAGAGUCAGUUCGUAUGCUGCGGGAAAUGGCCGCCGAGGAGGUAGGUCAGGACUUCGGUCUUGGCUGUUAUAUCUUGGUGGUUUGUUGUCGUGGUUGGGACUGAGGUGCCUACAAUGUGCUUUUGAGUGUGCCGGGUUCUCAUUUGGUGGACUGUUUGGAUAGCUUGCUAUGCUUGUGGUUUUUUCAUCGAGCGAUUGAGUCUGGUGGUAACUUGUUGCUGUUCGGGACUUUGA
RNAcentral lists this ribosomal RNA (467 nucleotides) under uncultured Oomycota. Its description in RNAcentral is "LSU rRNA". It matches the Rfam family "Eukaryotic large subunit ribosomal RNA", at positions 326 to 629 of the family's 3401-position model. Lineage: Eukaryota; Oomycota. The record is from RNAcentral.